CAUGGCGGUGCUGGAGUUGGCGGCCGGCGGGAGGCGGUCGGGGAAGGAGGAGCAGGCUGAGCGUCCGAUGGAGUGCGCGCCGGAAAGCACGACCAUUUCGUUCUGGUUGAGCCCCUUGGCGGCGAACAUGGCCGUGGUCAGGGCGAGGUCCCCGAAGGGCGGCGGCAGGUUCUGGAAGGUGUCGUUGGCGCGCGAUACUUUCCCGUCGUACCGGCCGGCCGGCACACGGUAGUUGAUCCUGCCGUAGCUCAGGCUGUAGCUGGCGUCGCGGCCGGCGAAGGCGACGAUGUCGGCGCACGAGACGAUGCCUGGGCAGUGCUUCUCGAGUUUAGCCUUUGCCUCCUCAAUCAGUUCGAAGCCACGCAGGCUGAGGUUGGGGACAGCCGUCCUCUCCGUGUCCG
This is a non-coding RNA of Lolium perenne, 401 nucleotides long. The record is from RefSeq and is a predicted model, not a curated record. NCBI's taxonomy places the organism in Eukaryota, Viridiplantae, Streptophyta, Magnoliopsida, Poales, Poaceae.